UCAGUGUCAUAACACCCAUCACAUAACUACCCUGUUAUCAGUGUCAUAACAUCCAUAACAUAACUACACUGUUAUCAGUGUAAUAACACCCAUCACAUAACCACCCUGUUAUCAUUGAGGUGACACUCAUUACAUAACCACCCUGUUAUCAUUGAGGUGACACUCAUUACAUAACCACCCUGUUAUCAUUGAGGUGACACUCAUUACAUAACCACCCUGUUAUCAUUGAGGUGACGCUCAUUACAUAACCACCCUGUUAUCAUUGAGGUGACACUCAUUACAUAACUACCCUGUUAUCAUUGAGGUGACACUCAUUACAUAACUACCCUGUUAUCAUUGAGGUGACACUCAUUACAUAACUACCCUGUUAUCAGUGUUAUAACACCCAUCACAUAACCACCCUGUUAUCAUUGAGGUGACACUCAUUACAUUUGUUAUGGAUGUGUAAUAACCCUUGUGGCUGUUCCUGUAGGUUCCUAUUAUUUUAUCACCAAAGAAUGAGAUAUAGUUUGAAAACAGUGCCCUAUCAUUGGACUUACUUCACUCAGCUUGAUAAUCUUAAUCGAUCUUAUACAAAAUAGAAAAUCAUGUAAUGUCCUUUGUAUAAUCAUUUCUCCUGGCUUUCAAACAAGAUUUUUAUCACAGGCAUUUCAAACUUUUUAAAAUCUACAAAUAUAAAUCGGAUUAUCCUCGAAUGUGAGGUUUUAAUGACCAACUGGUAGAAUGAAUCAGAUUCCGAGGGACAAGACAGCCAUAGUUAGUUUUAUAUAUAGUCUAAGAUUGAUGCCUAACACAACAGUUUACAGAUGUCUGAGAUGAUUUGAAUUUGUUUUUGGAUAUAUAUAGGACAAAUAACUACUUUCAUUAAUACCCUAUUUUUUGUGUGUGCCAAAAUUUUGCUACCAAAACCCUGUCAUUUAAAAUCAUUUUAUUUCUUGAUGUGAACAUUGUCAAGUAAAUCAGUUCCAAACACUGGUGACAAGGUCAGUAUAUGAAGAAUACAUGAUUUCUCAACAAACAUUACUAUUUGUUUGUUAGAAUCAUGCAAAGAAUCAUACAAUACACCUCUCCAAUCAAACUUAGUUGUCUGAUAACUCGAAGUAUAAAUUCAGUUUAAUCAGUAAAUAUUUUACGUAAAGCAUACUCGGUUGAAUUCAUGUGAUAAGUGUUUUCACUACCCGAGCUGACUUCGAGAUACAGAGGUUUGGCUGUGUUUGAUACAUCUUUUCACCAUCACACUCCUUGUUGAUUAUUUCCUGAACUAAAAGUCAUUCAUUCUUUUUUUUCCAAUAAUUUCAUUCUGAAAUCCUCAGUGAUCUUUCUACUACAGCUAACAAAAUUGAGUUUGAAACAUGGUGUUUUUAUACCAAUAAAAAAAAUUCACUUGAUCCUGCAAAUUUUAAACAUUCACAUUCUGUCUCCAGUUUUCUUGUGAAUAGAAUUAUUUCUAAUCAUCAGGUUUAAUGAAUUGGUUAUAAAUGACAGGGAUGUAGAUGUUCUCAUUGUGUUCACUGUAAAACAGUUCUCCACUGUACAGCAUGAAAUGUUAGUGUGGACUUUCUUUCCUGAUUUUGAGCUUUCAAAAUAUGUCAUGGCUACAAACUGUAAUGCAAAAAUAAUGUAACAAUAAUAUAUAAAACAAUAUUUGUUAUAUUUAUAUUUGUAGUUCCAUAGCAACCACACAAAAAAUAACGAAAGUUUAUACACACCAAGCGUUUCAUGUUAUACAGAAUUCCUUGUAUAUAAUUUGUGUACAUACAGCAUCGCAGUGUUAUAUUAUCUUACUGGUGACCAGCGGGCCGUGUCCUCACACAGAAUAUGACCAGUGGGCCGUGUCCUCACACAGAAUAUGACCAGUGGGCCGUGUCCUCACACAGGACGUGACCAGUGGGCCGUGUCCUCACACAGAAUAUGACCAGUGGGCCGUGUCCUCACACAGAAUAUGACCAGUGGGUCGUGUCCUCACACAGGACGUGACCAGUGGGCCGUGUCCUCACACAGGACGUGACCAGUGGGCCGUGUCCUAUCACAGAAUAUGACUAGUGGUCCGUGUCCUAUCACAGAAUAUGACCAGUGGGCCGUGUCCUCACACAGAAUAUGACCAGUGGGCCGUGUCCUCACACAGGAUGUGACCAUGCAGUGGGUCUUGUCCUCACACAGGACGUGACCAGUGGGCCGUGUCCUCACACAGGACGUGACCAGUGGGCCGUGUCCUCACACAGAAUAUGAACAGUGGGUCAUGUCCUCACACAGGACGUGACCAGUGGGCCGUGUCCUCACACAGAAUAUUGUUGUGUGUGGUUUUGAAAUUUAUUAAACUCACUUUUAGUCUUGAAAAGUCUUGAAUACUAUUCUGUGGUCUUGAAAAACCUUGAAAUAUGAUACGAAAAUACCAUAAACAUGGGAAAAUGUACUUCCAAUUCAAAUUGGAAGAGCAACUCUUUGUUUUAAUCUAAAGUUAUUGACCUGUAAGGUGUGUCUGUUCAUUUUGUGACUAAGUUGGAUAUAGGUGUAUCCCUUAUCAAUAUCCAUAGUUCAUUUCUCAAUCCCUGUACACAGGCCCCCGUGUUACCAGUGAGAAAGCUUGUACAUGUCUGCUGCUAGUAUGUUAUUUUUAGCUUGAUACACAAAUACAACAAUGUAUUUUCACUGUGAUACAAUAAUGUAUAUAUAACGUUUUUGCCUAUAAACAUGUCAUAAUAUAUUUGUUCGUGUAGAAAUUAUCGUUACAUUCAGAAAUUUGCUUAUGAUGUUGAUAAAUAAUUUUAUUCAUCAACAAUGACCUUGCUCCAAAACAUUGAAAUAUAUUGAAUAUUUUUAUUUUAACUUUAGGAUCAACCAUUUUUACAGAUGAAAUUUUCCUUCGGGACUUUGUAAAUUAUCAAUUGAUGAAAUUUGAACUCCAAAAAUACAUUUUGUCCAAGGAAGUUUUAUUUCUUUUUCUUAAAAAUUGCAAGGUAAAAUAAUACUACUACAUUAGUAAGAGUUUUGCAUUCCAUCAGUAAGUUUCCAAACUCCACUGUAGAACGGUGGCCGAUCUUAUAA
Long non-coding RNA from Pecten maximus, 3045 nucleotides. RefSeq lists it as uncharacterized. The record is from RefSeq and is a predicted model, not a curated record. The transcript is spliced from 2 exons. NCBI's taxonomy places the organism in Eukaryota, Metazoa, Mollusca, Bivalvia, Pectinida, Pectinidae.